Molecule: ribosomal RNA, 400 nt
Filed under: uncultured bacterium
Lineage: Bacteria
Description: bacterial SSU rRNA
Rfam family: Bacterial small subunit ribosomal RNA
Source: RNAcentral
GGGGAAUAUUGCACAAUGGGCGAAAGCCUGAUGCAGCAACGCCGCGUGAGCGAUGAAGGUCUUCGGAUCGUAGAGCUCUGUCCUCAAGGAAGAAUAAUGACGGUACUUGAGGAGUAAGCCCCGGCUAACUACGUGCCAGCAGCCGCGGUAAUACGUAGGGGGCUAGCGUUAUCCGGAAUUACUGGGCGUAAAGGGUGCGUAGGCGGUCUUGCAAGUCAGAGGUGAAAGGCUACGGCUCAACCGUAGUAAGCCUUUGAAACUGUAGGACUUGAGUGCAGGAGAGGAGAGUGGAAUUCCCAGUGUAGCGGUGAAAUGCGUAGAUAUUGGGAGGAACACCAGUUGCGAAGGCGGCUCUCUGGACUGUAACUGACGCUGAGGCACGAAAGCGUGGGGAGCGAAC